RNAcentral lists this ribosomal RNA (253 nucleotides) under uncultured bacterium. Its description in RNAcentral is "partial 16S ribosomal RNA". It matches the Rfam family "Bacterial small subunit ribosomal RNA", at positions 524 to 776 of the family's 1533-position model. The record is from RNAcentral.
UACGUAGGGUGCGAGCGUUGUCCGGAAUUAUUGGGCGUAAAGAGCUUGUAGGCGGUUUGUCGCGUCUGCUGUGAAAUCUCAAGGCUCAACCUUGAGCUUGCAGUGGGUACGGGCAGACUAGAGUGUGGUAGGGGAGACUGGAAUUCCUGGUGUAGCGGUGAAAUGCGCAGAUAUCGGGAAGAACACCCGUGGCGAAGGCGGCCCUCUGGGACGGUACUGACGCUGAGACGCGAAAGCGUGGGGAGCGAACAGG